Diospyros lotus (date-plum) is the source of this 2719-nucleotide long non-coding RNA. RefSeq lists it as uncharacterized. The record is from RefSeq and is a predicted model, not a curated record. The transcript is spliced from 2 exons. Lineage: Eukaryota; Viridiplantae; Streptophyta; Magnoliopsida; Ericales; Ebenaceae.
UCUACCUGGAAAAGGAAGCUACUUUUUUUAUUUUUUGAAGCGAUAAUUUCCAGUUUUUGGAUCGAAAGAAGUUGCUUUAAUGGAGAAAACGUUUUGCUCUGAACCACUGCUGUCUGUUGUUGAUGGCUGCCGCGACAAGCGUCCGGAGAAGAAUCGAAAAGCAUUUUGCUUCGUUUCAUUGAGAUUCGGGCGGACGCUUCUCCUUAUGAACUUAUUUCUGGAUUGUGACUUGGAAGAAUCCAAAAUCAUUUUGUUAUGUUUGGACUGAUGGAAUCUACGAGAUCAAAUCAGAACACGACCUCUAAUACGGCUCAAGCGUUCGACAAAAUUCCUCAGUUACUGUAACCAUAUCUUGGCCGUACUUAGAGAAGCGACGGAAUAAACAAUUGGGCUUUCGUUAUGGGUAGGGGCCGCGCGAACGCAUGCCCCCCCUCGUACAAAUUAUGGCGUAGGCUCGACCGCUUGGGCCGACCUUAGGCAUAUAGCCCUCCUACGUGCAAUGGAGCCCAUCAGCCCAGGCAACAGGCCUUCCUGAUCGCCUGUAUACCCCGCCCAGGUAAGUAUGUUGUUUUGUUCCUUUCGUCUGGUUAUUAAUGCAUUUUCAUUUUCAAUAUGCUAUUGUGGUUUUCGAUGUGGGAUUAAUUAUCUGUUAUAUCUAUACAUAGAACCGUUUAUGAACUGCACUAUACAGAUUGUAAACCAUGCUUUUUAUAAUGUGAAAUAGAAUGCUCAAAAAUAUAAACUUUCUAGUUAAUCUUUGAUCCAUCUUUGUCUAGAGAUGCUCUUUGAGUGAUUCUUCUCACCAUUGAGUCAUGAAUGUGAGUUUAAUCGUCUUGCUUAAGUGAUUUUUCCAUCGUUGGGUCAUGAAUGUGGGCUUAUCUUUUUUUUUUUUUUUUCUUUUUUUUAAAUGAAUUUAUUAGACAAAUUCAUGGAUUCAUUUGUGGAAUUUUCUAAACUUAAACUUUAUUAAUGAAAUAGACACGGUAAAAUGUGUUUCAUGUUUUGAAGUACAUUGAUUUUGUAAUAUAUGUUUGUAUAAUCAAGUUCAGGUACCUCUUUGUUUAUACAUUGUACUUGAAAUUUAUACGCAUCUUAUUUUAAUGUGUUCAUUGAAUCAUUUUUUUGAAUGACGCUUUAUCACGAAUACUCUCUUACUCGAUUCCACGAUUUUUAAUAAAGAAUAUAAUUCAAAAAAUCACAACAAGGAUCGAACACUAACACAUCGUAAAUGUCCCCAACGACUAGAUUAUACGCCCGGGCUGUGUUCAUUGAAUUAUUUAGUACUUACGUUGCUCUUGAUGCGGGAGGCAGGCCACUUAGGCUCUGUUGGUUUAUAAAAAAAAGUAUUUUUUAAGGAAAAACCAUUUCUUGAAAUUUUUUUUUCCUAGAAUGUGUUUUUUAGUUGUUUGGCUGUAACCUAAAAAUAUUGCUAAAAAAUCAUUUCUAAUAUUUGGUUGGUACUUAAAAAAUUAUAAUUUUUUAUUAUUAAAUCUAUGACAAAAAUAAAAAAAGCAUAAUAAACACACAAGAAAAUAAUAAAUAGGGAGAGAGAGAGAGAGAGAGAUGGCAAACGACGGUUGGCGAGAGGCGGAGUGAGACGGAGACGGUGAUGCAGGCAUGGAUGGUGCUGACGAUGUAAGCGAAGGCUAAAAGAGGCAGAGCUUGAUGGAGACUAAUGUGUAUGACGACGCAGAGUCCAAGAACAGAGAGAGGUGAAGAGUGAUGGAAACGGAUAGAGGCGAAGCAUGACGGAGUGGGCGACACGUACGGUGAAGCAUUAUCCUACCAAAAAUUCAUGUUCAUAAUUUGGCAUAAUAAUAAUAAUAAUAAUAAUAAUUCCUAGCUUCAAUUUGAUCUCUCUACGUCGGUCUCCGGGCCUUCUGGCUCUCCACCCCAUUGCUUUAUUCUGUUCCCAGCGAUAGAAGCCUGUAAAGUUCCAACAUCAGGCGGGAAAGCGAUCUAUUAGUUGGCUCUAUUCAAGUGGGAAAUUACUGUUGUAUUUGAUAAAACCGCACAUUGAUGAAACUAUACAUAGAAGAAAGGAAAUGGAUUUAUGUUUGAAGUAGGUACCUCUUUAUUCCAGUUUGUUCGAUGAAUGAUCCAAUAUAGGACGCAAGUUUGUACCACUGUUCCAGACAUCAUGCCAUACCAAAUGCCCUGAAAAAAUCAGAAUGGUAGUUAGAAGUUGUUAGGUUGUGCUUGGUAAUCCACAAUUAACGUAAAAUUUGUUGGGAUAGGACAUAUAUGGUGUUUGAUAAAGAGCAAUUAAGUAAUGAUAUAAUAUGCUUGAUUACCUUGACACCCAAGUUGAGAUAGUAACCCAAGAAGAGGCCCAAAGGAAUGCCAAAUAAGUAGUAGCAUGCUACGUUGACAUAGGCAACAACAGCCUGCCAUCCAGCUCCGAUGGCCACCCCUGCGCGCAAAACAACCAACCAAUUUGGAAAGAACUAGCAGUGAGCUCUGAUUAAAAGUUGAAAUAAUAGUUAAGAAAACGAGGAGGAGGAGGGACCUGAGAGAACAGGUUGGACAUUGUUAAUGACAAUACAAGCUGCUAGUAUUAGAGUGAGCUCGUCCACCAGAUCCUUUACCUCCCGACUCUCUGCAAACAGGGACGGGUAUUGUUUUCUGAAGAUGAUGAGGAGGAGGGAGAGUAGAAUACCAAUCGCCAUUGAAGAUAACACGACCACCACCACCGAGAACUUGGCCGUUCUCGGGUGGG